GUGCACCAGUCGCGAAUUUUCUCAAUGGGCGCAAGCCUGAAGGGCGACGCCGCGUGGGGGAUGAAGGGUUUCGAUCCGUAAACCCCUGUCAUUUGCGAACAAACCCUGAGGUUUAAGAGAUAUCAGGCUGAUUGUAGCGAAAGAGGAAGGGACGGCUAACUCUGUGCCAGCAGCCGCGGUAAUACAGAGGUCCCAAGCGUUGUUCGGAUUCACUGGGCGUAAAGGGUGCGUAGGUGGCUUGGUAAGUUCGAUGUGAAAUCUCCGGGCUUAACCCGGAAAUGGCAUUGAAUACUAUUGAGCUGGAGGUUUGGAGGGGGACUGGAAUUCUCGGUGUAGCAGUGAAAUGCGUAGAUAUCGAGAGGAACACCAGUGGCGAAGGCGAGUCCCUGGACAACACCUGACACUGAGGCACGAAAGCUAGGGGAGCAAACAGGAUUAGAUACCCCUGUAGU
This 452-nucleotide ribosomal RNA is filed under the name uncultured organism. RNAcentral's name for it is "bacterial SSU rRNA". It matches the Rfam family "Bacterial small subunit ribosomal RNA", at positions 346 to 794 of the family's 1533-position model. The record is from RNAcentral.